UUUAAUGGAGCUCAGUGGUAGAGCGCUUGCCUUGCAAGUGUGAGGCACUGGGUUUAAUCCUCAGCACCACAUAAAAA
This 77-nucleotide transfer RNA is filed under the name Marmota monax (woodchuck). Its description in RNAcentral is "tRNA.Ala". The stretch from base 6 to 66 matches the Rfam family "tRNA", at positions 6 to 65 of the family's 71-position model. From Rfam's summary of the family: Transfer RNA (tRNA) molecules are approximately 80 nucleotides in length. Lineage: Eukaryota; Metazoa; Chordata; Mammalia; Rodentia; Sciuridae. The record is from RNAcentral.